AAGUCUUCAGGGGGAGACAUCUCACUUGCAAAGAAUCCGCCCAAGACUUCGGACCUCUCCUUCUGUAAAGCAUGGACUACCCGAUCAACAUAAAUAUGAGUGCAUGGCCAGGCGGGAACUGUGACACUUGAAACAAAGGGACCCGGCUCGUGUGGUGUCACUCUGCUUCCGUGUGAUUGGUACAGGGCCACAGCAGGGGCUUCAAACAACAACGGAUGUCCACUUCCACCGGGGGUUGCAGUGAGACAUAGCUACUGGGAUUUCCAAUAGUACCCACUGCCCUCUGACAGACACCUGCUACGUGGACCACAGCUCCACAUCUCUCCAUCUAGAUUCUACGCUACAGCAUGGUCGUACUGCAGUCUGGUGAUACUGCAUAACUAAUCUAAUCAUAUAGAAAUGUUUUGCUGUUUUUAUACCAGUAUAUUAAAGUAAGCAUGUAAAAAAUGUAUAUGGUUUGUCAUGCCAUGAUGUACACAAUUAGAUUAGAUUGUUAUUAGUAAGGAUGAUUAUUAUCUCAAUAAAUAAAGAUUUCCAUUAGAAAAUGUGGUUUAAAAAUAUAUAAUAUUGGUUUAGACCACUUGGUAAUUCAGAUAUAGCAACUGUCAGAUGUACUAUCAGACAACUAUUGAGAUAAAGAAACUCUUGAAGUGACUUUAAAAUACUUCAAAUUAUUUAAGGCAUGCUUGAUUUAACUUGGAGUAUGCACUCCAGUAUUCCAUUGGUUUUAUUGUGAACAUAAUCAAUUGCACCUCGAGAACUUGAAUGUAUUUGACACAGGUCUGGAGAACUGUGACAACCAACCCAUGUCUCAGUUUCCCCUA
Molecule: long non-coding RNA, 824 nt
Organism: Oncorhynchus gorbuscha (pink salmon)
Lineage: Eukaryota; Metazoa; Chordata; Actinopteri; Salmoniformes; Salmonidae
Exons: 3
Source: RefSeq, a predicted model, not a curated record